RNAcentral lists this ribosomal RNA (495 nucleotides) under uncultured bacterium. Its description in RNAcentral is "bacterial SSU rRNA". It matches the Rfam family "Bacterial small subunit ribosomal RNA", at positions 28 to 507 of the family's 1533-position model. The record is from RNAcentral.
GAUGAACGCUAGCGACAGGCUUAACACAUGCAAGUCGAGGGCAGCGGAGAGGAAAGCUUGCUUUCCUCUGCCGGCGACCGGCGCACGGGUGAGUAACACGUAUGCAACCUACCCCUGGCAGGGGGAUAACCCGGAGAAAUCCGGACUAAUACCGCGUAACACCGCGGGGAGACAUCUCCCGGCGGUCAAAGGAAGCGAUUCCGGCCAGGGAUGGGCAUGCGGCGCAUUAGGCAGUUGGCGGGGUAACGGCCCACCAAACCGACGAUGCGUAGGGGUUCUGAGAGGAAGGUCCCCCACACUGGUACUGAGACACGGACCAGACUCCUACGGGAGGCAGCAGUGAGGAAUAUUGGUCAAUGGGCGCAAGCCUGAACCAGCCAAGUCGCGUGAGGGAAGACGGUCCUAUGGAUUGUAAACCUCUUUUGUCAGGGAGCAAGCGCGGGACGCGUCCCGUCGUUGAGAGUACCUGAAGAAAAAGCAUCGGCUAACUCCGUG